This 411-nucleotide ribosomal RNA is filed under the name bacterium enrichment culture clone ALO1_GLFRUDD03HB575. Its description in RNAcentral is "bacterial SSU rRNA". It matches the Rfam family "Bacterial small subunit ribosomal RNA", at positions 9 to 420 of the family's 1533-position model. The record is from RNAcentral.
GAGUUUGAUCCUGGCUCAGAUUGAACGCUGGCGGCAUGCCUUACACAUGCAAGUCGAACGGCAGCACGGGAGCUUGCUCCUGGUGGCGAGUGGCGAACGGGUGAGUAAUGCAUCGGAACGUAUCCUGGAGUGGGGGAUAACGUAGCGAAAGUUGCGCUAAUACCGCAUAUUCUGUGAGCAGGAAAGCGGGGGACCUUCGGGCCUCGCGCUCUUGGAGCGGCCGAUGUCGGAUUAGCUAGUUGGUGAGGUAAAGGCUCACCAAGGCGACGAUCCGUAGCAGGUCUGAGAGGAUGAUCUGCCACACUGGAACUGAGACACGGUCCAGACUCCUACGGGAGGCAGCAGUGGGGAAUUUUGGACAAUGGGGGCAACCCUGAUCCAGCCAUGCCGCGUGAGUGAAGAAGGCCUCGG